Molecule: long non-coding RNA, 1724 nt
Organism: Callithrix jacchus (white-tufted-ear marmoset)
Lineage: Eukaryota; Metazoa; Chordata; Mammalia; Primates; Cebidae
Source: Ensembl
GGGAACUAAAAUACUUUGGCUCUGGGUGAGGCACAAUUUGCACGGAGUUGGAAGGUGCACCUGUCAGUUGCUUGGUUUACCUAUACCUCAGAGCCCUGUAUCUUCCUGAAGGAGAAAGGGAACUAGUGCUUUGCAAGUGGGUCUCUCAUAAUCACUUAAUUAUGAUUAUUCAGACACAAAAGGAAAUUCUGGAAUUAGCAACCACAGUAAUCAGCAUUCUUCCCAUUUUGAAGAUGAGGACAUGUAGUACACAGCACAGGUAGUAUAUAGCAAAGCCCAAACUCAACAUGUCUGUGUGAUCUUAGCCCUGAGCUAUCAUUUCAAGAGAAGACAUCAAGAACUAAGGCCACAGGCAAGAAACAAAGAAGCUGGGAUUAGCAGCUUGUGACAUCAGAGAACACAGGCAACGUCUCGGAGCUCCACUGCGGCAAUGGAAGGAACUUAGAAGGAGGACAACCAGGCUUUCCCUGCCAUCUGGAGCCUAAAAACUGCCCUAAUCAACUCCUUUGCCCAGCUCGCAACCAGAGGAGAAAUGGAAAUAAUCAGUAAAUGAGAAAUCAGGGUCUAUUUGAGUGUUGAGUGUUUACAACAUGGUGCCAGAUAUUUGGAAAGAAAUAAGUGUGACUGAAGUAUGAAGAGGGGACUCUUUCUUUCACCUAAUAAAUGGUUUAGUGACGACUCAGUCACACCCCAAGGUCACUCUUGAAAUCACAGCCUUAUGAAGUGGCCCACGAGAAUCAGACCAGCUGCUAGUGUCUCCUUCUCUUCCAAAGCUCCCAGAAAGACAGCUGCCCCUUGGAAGAUUUAUUUCUUAAGCCAGGAGUUCUCAGACUUAGCAGUCUAUCUGUGCCACUGUGUUCCACAAAAGAUGGUGAGAAAUACUGUCUCCAUAUUACAGGUCCACCCUCCAACCUUCUCCAUCCUGCUUUCUGUCUCAGGAUUCUGCCCUUUAUGGACUACAUCAACUGGGCUCCCUGGCCCUUUGGAUUUGGCCAAUAAAAGCACCAAGAAGAGAUCAAAAGUCAAAAGAGAGACAGAUUUGGGCAUCUGUUCUCAUUUUCCUCCCUGCUGGACCACAGGAUGACAGUGGCUGUCUACAGUUCCUGUCCAGGGGGUCCUCUCUUAACACCUACACAUCUCAGCACGUUCUCAUAGCCACUCCCUCCCCUUGUACCUGUUUUCCACCAUUGCUGGCCCCAGAAACCUCAACAUCCCUGAAGAUUUUCCCCUAAACUUGCCCACAUCUUUGUAAAGAGGCCAUUGUUGAAAUCUAUUUCAUAACCCUUUUUGGUUUACCAUCUGUGUCCUGUUCCCCAGCUGAAACACAGUUAUGUCCAAACUUACUUUAUAAUCACUUAUGGAGCUUUAGAAAAAUAGAUUUCCAGACCCUACUGAAGACCUAAUGAAUCAGAAUCCCUAUUCUUGGAGCUAAGGAAUAUGUAACUUUAACAAACAACCCAGGUGAUUCUGAUCCAGCCAACCUGGCAAGCAUCCCUGGAUGAGCAUUUGGGAGCCACUGCUCUGCAGACCCUACCAUGCCAAACUGAAGCAUUUGAAAACAAACAGGACACUCCGGAACACAACCCCAGCUACCCUUCCCUCUAACACCACAGCAACCAACACACCAGAAAAAGAAGUGGACUCUCUAUGGGGACAUCCAAAGCAGAAGAAAACAAGCAUAUGGUCUACAGUGAUAGGAGAUGGUCCUGAGCACAUUAAGUAAC